This 569-nucleotide ribosomal RNA is filed under the name uncultured fungus. RNAcentral's name for it is "SSU rRNA". It matches the Rfam family "Eukaryotic small subunit ribosomal RNA", at positions 185 to 761 of the family's 1831-position model. Lineage: Eukaryota; Fungi. The record is from RNAcentral.
GCCCUUGGAAGGGGUGUAUUUAUUAGAUUAAAAACCAAUGCCCUUCGGGGCUCACUGGUGAUUCAUGAUAACUCCUCGAAUCGCAUGGCCUUGUGCCGGCGAUGGUUCAUUCAAAUUUCUUCCCUAUCAGCUUUCGAUGUUUGGGUAUUGGCCAAACAUGGUUGCAACGGGUAACGGAGGGUUAGGGCUCGACCCCGGAGAAGGAGCCUGAGAAACGGCUACUACAUCCAAGGAAGGCAGCAGGCGCGCAAAUUACCCAAUCCCGACACGGGGAGGUAGUGACAAUAAAUACUGAUACAGGGCUCUUUUGGGUCUUGUAAUUGGAAUGAGUACAAUUUAAAUCCCUUAACGAGGAACAAUUGGAGGGCAAGUCUGGUGCCAGCAGCCGCGGUAAUUCCAGCUCCAAUAGCGUGUAUUAAAGUUGUUGUGGUUAAAAAGCUCGUAGUUGAACCUUGGGCCUGGCUGGCCGGUCCGCCUCACCGCGUGUACUGGUCCGGCCGGGCCUUUCCCUCUGUGGAACCCCAUGCCCUUCACUGGGUGUGGCGGGGAACCAGGACUUUUACAAGGGC